CCACCGUCUUCUCUAAAUUCGCCGUUUACUCGACCACACUGUUACGUCUCUCAUUCGUGUACAGUCGACCGCUAUACCCGAAGCCACAAUAUCACUGUACUCGACCGUUUCACUCGACCGCGUACUUGACUGGUUUAGUGUGUGUGUUUAUUUGAACUAACAUAUUGAUAUUUGGUUUUGAGUUACAUUCUUUUUCAGGGAAUCAAUAUGAGUAACUACAGUGGCGAAUCCUCCAUGGAUGCGGAUUACAACGUCGAUGAAGCUGAAUCUUGGUCAACUAGACCAGAGAGAGAGCAACAGGCUUAUGAGAGCUUCAGAGCCGAGACCCAACGCUCAGUAGCUCGACGCAAUGAAAGGAGAGCUGAGAUUGCUAGAGGAAAGAUAGCGAUGACCAGCAGAUAUGAGUUGAUCGACGAAGAUAUUGACGUCGAGUAUGAGCCUGAGUCAUGGCACAGAGAAACAAAACUGUUGAAUAAGCCUGAUGAAGUUACAGUGGAGGAGUACAUCAGACUUUUCGAGCUGAACGACUUCUGGGGAACGAGGUACCCCUGUUAUGAGACUCUAGCCCAGCUUGGGCUACUGGAGGACGUACAGCACUUAUUCGAGAAGUGCCAUCUUGAGACGCUGAUGUCUUACCCGUACAUCGCUUACAAGAAGGAAACAAUAGAGUUUCUCUCCACUCUGCAAGUGGAGUUGUAUCAGGGACUUACUGCAGAUGAACUGGAGAGUGAAGGGUUGGGGUUCUUGACUUUUUCAGUUAACGAGCAGCGUUACCAGCUAUCUAUCAAGAGCUUGGAAGGAUUAUUUGGUUUUCCCAGUGGAAAGGAAACUAAACCCAAGUUCGAAAGGGAAGAGUUGAAGGAUUUGUGGUUAACCAUUGGGAACGAUUUGGCGCUCAACUCUGCAAGGUCUAAGAGCAACCAGAUUCGAAGCCCUGUGAUCCGCUACAAUCAGCGCUUAGUAGCGAAUGUUCUGUACCCCAGGGAAUCUACAGGCACCGUGUCUAACACAGACAUGGAGAUGAUUGAUUCUGCACUCAAGGGUAUUCUCCGGAGAACAAAGGGGAAGAAGGUCCUAAAGGGCGACCUUAAUGAUACACCACCGGUCAUGCUUCUGUUGAUCCAUAUGUGUGGAUACAGGAAGUGGGCGCACACCAACAGGAGGAAGAAGGUGCGAGGAGCCCUUUGUGUGGGUGGCGUUGUGACACCGAUUCUGAUUGCAUGUGGUGUACCUCUCAAAUCUCCAGGGUUUGAUCCGAGGAUGAUGGAUUUAGAUCACUUGCGUCGUUGUGAGUUUCUGGAAUACGACAUGGUUGGCGAUUUUUAUCGCUACAAAUUCGAGCACUCCCUGACCCGAACAGCCAACAUUUUGCUUCCCUGCAUCGAGGCCACAACCAUACUUCAGGGUGAGAACAUUGACUUCAGACUUGCGCGUGAUUACCUCUACUUUGAGAGCGCUCCACCGACUGAUGACAAUGUCCCUACGACGGAAGCUACAGAGGAUGAUAUUGCUGAGACGGAUGAGGAUAGGGAGGAGGAGUAUGAUACGAGCAUGUAUCAUUUCAGUGAGCACGUACCUCCAGCGCGGGAGAGCAAGAGCUUGAGUGAAGCUCACAGAACCAACAGUAAGUUGCAGAGGUGGUGCAAGAAACAAGAUAGGCUACUUAUCAAGUGCUUCAAAGCCAUCACGUUUCUGACAGACAAGAUAAGCUGCUUCUCUUCUACUACAGCUAUUCCGCAGGGAGAGCGUCCUCAGGACAUGCCUUCGAGGAGAUAUGACGCGCCAGGGCCAAGUCAUCACAGGCUUGAGCCAAGUCACCACAGGCCUGAGCCUAGUGACCGAGUAGUCCCACCAGUCCCUGCGAGGCAUUCAUCAUUCGAGCCUCGGGAGCUCGGGAGAAAGAAGAAGGCUGCACUCGCUCGGUCUGGCAGUAGGAGUACACGACUUUUCCAAUCCCGUAGCUUACGCGACCGCGGUGCUGGCCGCAGCAGAAGAAGAGAGGUCGAGUAUCAUCACAGCGGUGCUGGCCGCGACGAAGGAGCAGAGGUCGAGUACCCCCAGGGGGAAGCUGGGACACAACAGGGAGAUUCUUCGAUGGCCUGGAAGCAAUCACAGACAGCUAUUGACGACCAACUCCGCUCCUUCUUCCACUGAGGUAUGCACCUCACUCCACCAUUGUAAUAUACCAUCUCUUGUUUUUAUUUUGUUUUUGUGAUGUGUUUUUGUCCUGAGUACUCUCUUCCAAAUUUGGUCACACAGUGGACUGUGUGAUUUAAGUUUGGGGGAGGGCUCAGGAAGUGUGUGUUGCAUUGUAUAAUCUUGAGUCUGCAUUCAUCUAAGGCAUAGAAAAACCAAAAAAAUUGAAAAAUUCCAGAAAAUGAUUUCACAAAAAUAGAGUGUUCAUGUAGUUGCAUUGCAUUUAGGAUCGAGUCUAGAGUGUUUCGUUUAGGAUUGUUGCAUAUGCAUAGGGGAUAAUGAUGAGAUAGCCUUGUAAGCAUUUUGGUUCACCAGAUAAGCUCAGUGCCCUCGUUGUUAGUUGUUUGAUGCGUUGUCAUUGAAAUUGAAGUAAGAACUGCACCAUGCCUAGAUUGCUCUACUCGACCACACUGUUAGGAUCUGAUAUCAUUCCCUAUCAAUUUGAACUUGAAUCUGAUUUAGAAUUAUCAUGUCUUGGCAUCGAAUUUGAACUCAUGGAUACCCUAAAAUACUUGGAUUUUCUUACUCAUUUUAACCACUCUUGUUGAUCCAAGUAGCUGACUCUCCUUAUUAGAGCAGUUAACCCAUACCCAAACCUGAACUUUCUUUCAAGCCCUAUAUCACUUGUGAGUGUUUGUGAGGUCUUAUUUCGAUUGAGCUUGGUAGAAAGUGUUAGGUUCGUAACGACAGAGAUAGUGUCUCAUGUAGUUCUAGUUCGCGUUCUUCAGACUGGAUAGGACUAGGUGGGCGCUUAUAUCAUGGGUUGGGAUGUGUUUAAAAGAAAAGAGGGAAUCCAUUGUUGAUGAGGAAAGGGAAAGAAUUCCAGGGGAAGUAAGCUAAAGAAGUUAGAAAAAAAAUCUAGUAAAGGUUUUGGGAAUGUUAAAGAAAAGAAUGAGGUUCUUGUUAGCUAAAGAAGAAGGGUUAAAAGCCUUUGGUUUUAAAAAAAAAA
This 3145-nucleotide small RNA is filed under the name Arabidopsis thaliana (thale cress). Its description in RNAcentral is "ATSL269230". The stretch from base 1517 to 1737 matches the Rfam family "MIR854 microRNA precursor family". The record is from RNAcentral. Lineage: Eukaryota; Viridiplantae; Streptophyta; Magnoliopsida; Brassicales; Brassicaceae.